This is a non-coding RNA of Equus caballus (horse), 115 nucleotides long. Lineage: Eukaryota; Metazoa; Chordata; Mammalia; Perissodactyla; Equidae. The record is from RefSeq and is marked provisional.
GUUUCCUUGGGAGCUCAACAGUCACGCAUCAGAUUUCCAGGGAAGUGCCCCGAGAGGGGAGUGGGUUGGAGCUGAGCUUGGCUGUCACCCCACGGAAAGGAGGGCUGAACAUUGC